Molecule: long non-coding RNA, 1170 nt
Filed under: Homo sapiens (human)
Lineage: Eukaryota; Metazoa; Chordata; Mammalia; Primates; Hominidae
Description: HSALNT0022748
Source: RNAcentral
GCUGGGUCUAAAGAGGCCAUUGUAACGAUGGAGCUGUGCCUAUUUAAGCACAUUCACAUUUAUUAGGCACUUCAUUUCCAUUAUUACACUGUAAUAUAUAAUAAAAUAAUUAUAGAAUUCACCAUAAUGUAGAAUCAGUGGGCGUGUUAAGCUUGUUUUCCUGCAACUGGAUGGUCCCACCUGAGCGUGAUGGGAGGAAGUGACAGAUCAAUAGGUAUUAGACUCUCAUUAAGGACAGCGCAACCUAGAUCCCUCACAUGCACGGUUCACAACAGGGUGCGUUCUAUGAGAAUCUAAUGCUGCUGCUGAUCUGAGAAGGUGGAGCUCAGGCGGGAAUGUGAGCAAAGGGGAGUGGCUGUAAAUACAGACGAAGCUUUCCUCACUCCCUCACUCGACACCACUCACCUCCUGCUGUGUGGCUCCUUGCGGCUCCAUGGCUCAGGGGUUGGGGACCCCUGCUCAAGUGCAUCAGAAACGACCCUUCUUCCCACACCAGUCUUCACAGUGGUCAAGUGCAGCAACCACUUAGCUCCCAAGGCAUGUGCCUCAGCUGGCAUUUCGUCACAAUCAACAGUAAGUGGUAGCUUGAGUCACUGUGAGGUCACCUACUGGAAAUCACCAGCAUCCCAUUUCCCACUGGCAAAGAGCUCAGCACUGCCCAAAUCCCAUCUGUGUGGGUUUAUCUCCUGGGACCCUUCCUAACAUAUUAGUCAGAGUCCAAUCAGGAAGCAUAAACCACUCAAAAGUUUAAAGUGGUAAAAUUUAAUACAGAGAAUUAUUCAUUAUAACAGGUGAACAGCAUAAUGAGAGAUUGACUAGCACAAAGUAAAGAGAACUCUAGAGAAUAUAGGACUAGCCCAGGCCAGGCACGGUGGCUCAUGCCUGAAAUUCCAGCAAUUUGAGAAGCUAAUGCAGGAGGAUUGCUUAAGGAGGCACCCAAAACCCUGUCAAUUUACAUCAAGGGUAAUGAGAAUGUCCAUUCACCAUGACUCACAGUAAUCUUACUUCUGGGGAGACAAUUCAAUCUAAACAAAAGGUCAUCUGUACACACACAGUAAAAAUCUGGGAGUAACUGAAGACAGAGUUGGUAAGUGAAAUAAGAAACAGUUAUAAGAAAUUAAACUAUGGUAUCAAUAGGCACCUGGUAAAAGGUCAGUUGAUGUUAGCUGC